Non-coding RNA from Pelobates cultripes (western spadefoot toad), 388 nucleotides. NCBI's taxonomy places the organism in Eukaryota, Metazoa, Chordata, Amphibia, Anura, Pelobatidae. The record is from the annotation of a GenBank genome assembly.
CUCAGACCCCAGCUAUCGAACGUCCAUUCGUGCAAAUAGACCUAAUAUUCGAAAAGUUGUAUAUUUCAAUAUAAAUUGCCGGUUCUGCUGAAAGGGAUAAUCCACUUAACGGUACAUUCCAGUAGGAGGAUCCCUCUCGUGCAGCAGUGCCUGAUGGGAGAAAUGCUCUGUACUGUAAGCUCCCCACGUAGUCCACCCCUGGAAUACCCCUGGGAUAGGACUCAGGAAACCCCUUGCAUGGGGAAUUGUAUAAAUUGUGGAGCCUGUGAAUAAAGCCUUCAGUUGACUCUCAGAACUGUGUUUCGUCCGGUUACUGUGAGAUUUGGGAUAUUGCUUUGCUUUUCAGCACUUGACUGUGGAUUACCUUCUGAACCAGCGGAGAUCGUGG